UUCAGACCAACAGGAAACACUUUUACAUCUCAGAUCUUCCUGCCUCUAACCCAAGCAAGUUCUUAAUGAGCAAGUAAGCAGACGGGCACGGCACGUUCUCCUCCCGCCAUCUGUGCUGUCGCCUCAUGCUUACGGACCAUUUGUUAGAGACAACGUCAGUACGUCAGCCUGCGAUUUCGGACUCGACCCCGGGGGCUGAAGCGGCUGAGGGCAGGUGUCUUGCCUGGGGGAGUUGGUGAGAAGAGAUGGGGUGCUGCAGCAUGAGUGCCCGGCGAGCUGCGUCGGCGGGGACAUGCCAGGAUGAGAUGGAGCUGCUGGAAAUAGGUGGUAGCAGAAAAUGGUCCAUUUCAGAAGCGCAGAGUGAAGGCUCCCUCCAUCUCAAGGAUCCCGUGACCGCGACAGAGACAGGAGGUAACCUGAGGCUAGCGGAAGAGGAAGAUUUUCAGGGGAGGAUCAGCGAGCUGAACCCACAGGUGAGUCUAAUGCCAUUAUGAUUUGUGUCAGGGUAGCUCCUAGGGGCCACAAACAGGCUCAGAUGCUGGGUGUUGUCCCCAGAAGCACCUCACAAUGCUCUUCGCCCCAUUGUACACAGAGACAUCUCACAGUAGAUUAAUGGCAGGAGCUGGGAGCUGAGUCCAGGUCUCCUGAGUCUCAGUUCAAGCCAAGACCAUCCCUUCCUCUCUGAGCCUUACAUCCAAACACCAGAGCAAUGUCU
This 715-nucleotide long non-coding RNA is filed under the name Chrysemys picta bellii (western painted turtle). RNAcentral's name for it is "lncRNA (ENSCPBG00000022207.1)". The record is from RNAcentral. Lineage: Eukaryota; Metazoa; Chordata; Testudines; Emydidae.